AUGAUGGACGAAGAAGCCACGAAGCGGUACUGUCGGAUGAGUGAUGAUGGACAGAAGCAGGAUCAAGCUGAGCGAGGGAAAGGUCAGGACGAGAGAGAGAUCACCGUCCUGCCGCGGAGGAAGACAGAUGAACUGGACGACAAUACGAAGAUGACAGCAUCGGGCUCGACCUCUUGUUGUUCGUCUUGUAUCAGUCUGAAGGACCGAUGUCCUCGACCACAGGGACUCAUCAACCUGCUU
Molecule: long non-coding RNA, 240 nt
Organism: Micropterus salmoides (largemouth bass)
Lineage: Eukaryota; Metazoa; Chordata; Actinopteri; Centrarchiformes; Centrarchidae
Exons: 3
Source: RefSeq, a predicted model, not a curated record